RNAcentral lists this ribosomal RNA (481 nucleotides) under Pseudomonas aeruginosa. RNAcentral describes it as "partial 23S ribosomal RNA". It matches the Rfam family "Bacterial large subunit ribosomal RNA", at positions 48 to 568 of the family's 2925-position model. Lineage: Bacteria; Pseudomonadati; Pseudomonadota; Gammaproteobacteria; Pseudomonadales; Pseudomonadaceae. The record is from RNAcentral.
GAUGAAGGACGUGCUAAUCUGCGAAAAGCGUCGGUAAGGUGAUAUGAACCGUUAUAGCCGGCGAUGUCCGAAUGGGGAAACCCAGUGCAAUUCGUUGCACUAUCGUUAACUGAAUACAUAGGUUAACGAGGCGAACCGGGGGAACUGAAACAUCUAAGUACCCCGAGGAAAAGAAAUCAACCGAGAUUCCCCCAGUAGCGGCGAGCGAACGGGGAGCAGCCCAGAGUCUGAAUCAGCUUGUGUGUUAGUGGAACGGUCUGGAAAGUCCGACGGUACAGGGUGAUAGUCCCGUACACCAAAAUGCACAGGCUGUGAACUCGAAGAGUAGGGCGGGACACGUGGUAUCCUGUCUGAAUAUGGGGGGACCAUCCUCCAAGGCUAAAUACUCCUGACUGACCGAUAGUGAACCAGUACCGUGAGGGAAAGGCGAAAAGAACCCCGGCGAGGGGAGUGAAAAAGAACCUGAAACCGUGUACGUACA